AGGCCACGAGGAGGCGCUGUCUCGCUUUACUCUGAAGAAGCUGCUCCUGCUCGUGUGUUUCCUGGACAAAGCCAAAGAGUCCCGGCUGAUUGAGCACAACCCCUGUCUGUUCUGCUUGGACGCAGAGUUCAAGAUGAGUAAAGACCUGCUCCUGGCCUUCUCCAGGGACUUCCUGAGCGGAGAGGGGAUCCUCCCCCGCCACCUCGGCCACCUGGGGUUACCCGUCGUUACUUAGCAAGUGCUCAAAAACAAAGGGGUCGACCUCAAAGAUGAUCGCGGCUCCAACAUUGAUUCCAGAGACAUUGUGGAUGCACACAGAGAGAAGACACUGAGCCUCUUGUGGAAAAUCAUCUUCACGUUUCACGUGGAGGUGGUUUUGGAUGAGAAUCAGCUGAGGGAGGAAAUUGGCUUCUUGAAGAGAUCCUGGAGGACCAAACGGAGGCUGGCGUCUCUGAGGGCCGACCGGGGGCUUCAGCUGAGUCCUGCAAAGACCAGGCUGCCGUAUGAACACAGCAGCACUAAGAUCACCCUGCUGAUGGACUGGGUCCGCGCUGUGUGUGACUUCUACAGUCUAAAGGUGGAGAACUUCACCGUGACGUUCUCGGAUGGCCGCGUCCUCUGCUACCUUAUCCACCACUACCACCCCAGUCUCCUGCCAGAGAGGGCUGUCAGUCACAGCACCACUCAGAAUCAAGCUGCCGUUGUC
Long non-coding RNA from Cottoperca gobio, 706 nucleotides. RefSeq lists it as uncharacterized. The record is from RefSeq and is a predicted model, not a curated record. Lineage: Eukaryota; Metazoa; Chordata; Actinopteri; Perciformes; Bovichtidae. The transcript has 5 exons.